RNAcentral lists this ribosomal RNA (634 nucleotides) under Burkholderia sp. Ms223. RNAcentral describes it as "bacterial SSU rRNA". It matches the Rfam family "Bacterial small subunit ribosomal RNA", at positions 60 to 691 of the family's 1533-position model. The record is from RNAcentral. Lineage: Bacteria; Pseudomonadati; Pseudomonadota; Betaproteobacteria; Burkholderiales; Burkholderiaceae.
AGUCGAACGCCAGCGCUGGAGCAUCCUGGCGGCGAGUGGCGAACGGGUGAGUAAUACAUCGGAACGUGUCCUGUAGUGGGGGAUAGCCCGGCGAAAGCCGGAUUAAUACCGCAUACGAUCUACGGAUGAAAGCGGGGGAUCGCAAGACCUCGCGCUAUAGGGGCGGCCGAUGGCGGAUUAGCUAGUUGGUGGGGUAAAGGCCCACCAAGGCGACGAUCCGUAGCUGGUCUGAGAGGACGACCAGCCACACUGGGACUGAGACACGGCCCAGACUCCUACGGGAGGCAGCAGUGGGGAAUUUUGGACAAUGGGCGCAAGCCUGAUCCAGCAAUGCCGCGUGUGUGAAGAAGGCCUUCGGGUUGUAAAGCACUUUUGUCCGGAAAGAAAUCCUCUGGGUUAAUACCCCGGGGGGAUGACGGUACCGGAAGAAUAAGCACCGGCUAACUACGUGCCAGCAGCCGCGGUAAUACGUAGGGUGCGAGCGUUAAUCGGAAUUACUGGGCGUAAAGCGUGCGCAGGCGGUGAUGUAAGACCGAUGUGAAAUCCCCGGGCUUAACCUGGGAACUGCAUUGGUGACUGCAUCGCUGGAGUAUGGCAGAGGGGGGUAGAAUCCACGUGUAGCAGUGAAAUGCGU